UUAUCGUUAAUCAUUUGCAGUACGCCAAGUCAUCGGAACCUUUAGCAGUAUAACAAGAAUGUUAAUUCAUUAAGCCUUAGGUCCUUCGCCCACGGGACUAUUUAACCAUAUUCAGGUUUCGUGCAUUCUUCUCCAACAGAACCUGAAGCAUCCAAACCUGGUGAACCUGAUCGAAGUGUUUCGGCGCAAGCGCAAGCUGCACUUGGUCUUCGAGUACUGCGACCACACCGUGCUACAUGAAUUGGAGAAGUAUCCAGCUGGCUGCCCCGAGCUCCUCUCGAAGCAGAUCAUCUGGCAGACCCUGCAGGGCGUCGCGUACUGUCACCGGCACAACUGCAUCCACCGGGACGUGAAGCCCGAGAACAUCCUGUUGACAGGCGACGGCGUGGUCAAGCUGUGCGACUUCGGCUUCGCGAGGAUGAUUAGUGGCAGCUGUUCCUCAGAGUAUUCCGUCCAUACCAUGAUACCCUUCGGCGUGGACGUCAGGAGACGAGCUAGUAACUAUUUAUACCAACAUUUAACUUACUCGUAGAAAUGUUUUGGUAUAUAGCAUUUUAGUUAUGUAGUGUAAAGAU
Molecule: long non-coding RNA, 575 nt
Filed under: Manduca sexta (tobacco hornworm)
Lineage: Eukaryota; Metazoa; Arthropoda; Insecta; Lepidoptera; Sphingidae
Description: uncharacterized LOC119191246
Source: RNAcentral